UGCGCAGGCGGACUAAUAAGUCAGUGGUGAAAUCUUUCGGCUUAACCGGGAAACUGCCAUAGAUACUGUUAGUCUUGAGUUCGGUUGAGGUAGGCGGAAUGUGUAAUGUAGCGGUGAAAUGCUUAGAUAUUACACAGAACACCAAUUGCGUAGGCAGCUUACUAGACCGACACUGACGCUGAGGCACGAAAGCGUGGGGAGCGAACAGGAUUAGAUACCCUGGUAGUC
This 228-nucleotide ribosomal RNA is filed under the name uncultured bacterium. Its description in RNAcentral is "partial 16S ribosomal RNA". It matches the Rfam family "Bacterial small subunit ribosomal RNA", at positions 568 to 795 of the family's 1533-position model. The record is from RNAcentral.